CAGCAAAUUAAAUGUUCCUCUCUGCAAGUGUUAGACUGUUUUAUUGACGACUUUUUUUUAUAAAGCAAAGCUAGCUUCGGCUUAAUUCCUAUCCAAAUUAAUGAAAGUUUCCUUCAUUUAUGAGAUUCUCAAUCUCCUCCGCUGGUGUUAAAAUUAGGUUCCAUUCCCAAAUUUGAGAAAGGAGCAUUUCUCUGCCCAUAAUUCCACUAUCCAAUUACAAUAAAUUAUGCAAAAGAACUGUUGUUCUGGAAGAAACUGUGAAGAACAUCUGCCAACCCUAAGAGGUGACAGGUCUGACUGUGAUACGAUGUCUUAGGGUUCAGUCCACUUGGAAUUCUGUCUGAGUAUUCCACAGGUCACUACACAUCCCAGACAUUCUGGGCAGGUUGAGAGGAAGGACAAAAGAAAGGAAGGGAGGGAGGGAAGGAGGGCAAGAGUGAGGAAGAAAAAAAAUCUCCUCGAUGGGAAUAUGAUUUCACAGCACUGGUUUCCAAACAAGGCCAAUCACCAAGGGCGCAACCCUGAAAAGUUUCCAACAUUAGGCUGUUGUGCUGUGCUGAAAACCACCCAAGAGCUGUGCACCUUCUUUUUCAGGAGUCACACCAGAUGUCCUGUCCAAGGACUAACAGCGUCUAUUCCUGUAGGGCUCCAUCCAUAUGUGAGGAAGCGGAAGAGAGCAUUUCAGAGCUGGUUGGUCAACUGAGUGAUUGAAGAGAUCACAGAUGGUAGGAGGAGCAGUUGUGUGCUGCUAACCAUAGAGGUCUCCCCUGUCUACAGAAACCUAAUUGAACAGGUAAGAACAUGUUUGGAUAUGUGAGAGUGAGGUCGGAGGGGGCAGUGGGCUCUCUUUCCUCUUUGAAGCUCACAUGAUGUCCUCUGCGGAGUUGGGGAAGGUGGCAUGGAAAUACUAGUGUUUCUCAUCCACAGCUCUACUGACGUUUUGGCUGAAUAAUUCCAUGUUUGGGGGGCUUCCUGUCCCUUGUAGGAUGUUCAGUACCAUCCUUGGCCCGUACCUACUGGAUGCCCAUAGCAGACAUAUCCAUCGCCAUUUGUGACAACCAAAUUGGCUCCCAACACUGCCCAAUGUCCCCUGGGGGGCAAAAUUGCCCCAGACUGAGCACCACUGAAAUAGAUCUGAUGUUGAGAGAGCAUGAAAAAAAAAAUAUUAAGAGAAAUGAGAGAGGAAGAAAAAGAGCUCAUACAUGAGAGAGAAAAUGAGGAUGACAAUAAAUGAAUGGAAUCAGGUCUCA
RNAcentral lists this long non-coding RNA (1250 nucleotides) under Felis catus (domestic cat). Its description in RNAcentral is "lncRNA (ENSFCAG00000045444.2)". Lineage: Eukaryota; Metazoa; Chordata; Mammalia; Carnivora; Felidae. The record is from RNAcentral.